UGGGGAAUUUUGGACAAUGGGGGAAACCCUGAUCCAGCCAUCCCGCGUGUGCGAUGAAGGCCUUCGGGUUGUAAAGCACUUUUGGCAGGAAAGAAACGUCGCGGGUUAAUACCCCGCGAAACUGACGGUACCUGCAGAAUAAGCACCGGCUAACUACGUGCCAGCAGCCGCGGUAAUACGUAGGGUGCAAGCGUUAAUCGGAAUUACUGGGCGUAAAGCGUGCGCAGGCGGUUCGGAAAGAAAGAUGUGAAAUCCCAGAGCUUAACUUUGGAACUGCAUUUUUAACUACCGGGCUAGAGUGUGUCAGAGGGAGGUGGAAUUCCGCGUGUAGCAGUGAAAUGCGUAGAUAUGCGGAGGAACACCGAUGGCGAAGGCAGCCUCCUGGGAUAACACUGACGCUCAUGCACGAAAGCGUGGGGAGCAAACAGGAUUAGAUACCCUGGUAGUCCACGCCCUAAACGAUGUCAACUAGCUGUUGGGGCCUUCGGGCCUUGGUAGCGCAGCUAACGCGUGAAGUUGACCGCCUGGGGAGUACGGUCGCAAGAUU
This 547-nucleotide ribosomal RNA is filed under the name uncultured bacterium. RNAcentral describes it as "partial 16S ribosomal RNA". It matches the Rfam family "Bacterial small subunit ribosomal RNA", at positions 355 to 895 of the family's 1533-position model. The record is from RNAcentral.